Molecule: non-coding RNA, 200 nt
Filed under: Clostridium neonatale
Lineage: Bacteria; Bacillati; Bacillota; Clostridia; Eubacteriales; Clostridiaceae
Source: RNAcentral
GAGAACUAAUAAUCUGAGGAAUGGAAUGAAGGAGUAACGCCCCGAAACGUUCCCACUGAUACUCCGACAAGCAUUAGUCAAAAGCUGGUGUUUGAAGCUCGGUGAAGUCGGCAGAAGAUUACCGUAAUUUAUUCUUAUUAGAGUAAAACGAAAUUUGUUCAGAGGUGAAUGAUGUAAUUGAUAUGCCGGGUGUCAAUUGU